This is a non-coding RNA of Potamilus streckersoni, 73 nucleotides long. NCBI's taxonomy places the organism in Eukaryota, Metazoa, Mollusca, Bivalvia, Unionida, Unionidae. The record is from the annotation of a GenBank genome assembly.
CGCUCUGGUGGCUAGUGGUUAGAGCGUCCGCCUCGGAUGCGGGAGGUCAUGGGUUCGAUCCCCACUCGAGUCA